UACGUAGGGAGCGAGCGUUGUCCGGAUUCAUUGGGCGUAAAGAGCUCGUAGGCGGCUUGGCAAGUCGGGUGUGAAAACUCCAGGCUCAACCUGGAGACGCCACCCGAUACUGCCAUGGCUAGAGUCCGGUAGGGGACCACGGAAUUCCUGGUGUAGCGGUGAAAUGCGCAGAUAUCAGGAAGAACACCGGUGGCGAAGGCGGCCCACUGGAUCGGUACUGACGCUGAGGUGCGAAAGCGUGGGGAGCAAACAGG
RNAcentral lists this ribosomal RNA (254 nucleotides) under uncultured bacterium. Its description in RNAcentral is "partial 16S ribosomal RNA". It matches the Rfam family "Bacterial small subunit ribosomal RNA", at positions 524 to 776 of the family's 1533-position model. The record is from RNAcentral.